Molecule: ribosomal RNA, 459 nt
Filed under: uncultured bacterium
Lineage: Bacteria
Description: partial 16S ribosomal RNA
Rfam family: Bacterial small subunit ribosomal RNA
Source: RNAcentral
CCUACGGGAGGCAGCAGUGAGGAAUAUUGGUCAAUGGCCGGGAGGCUGAACCAGCCAAGUCGCGUGAGGGAAGACGGCCCUACGGGUUGUAAACCUCUUUUGUCAGGGAGCAAGUUGCAGGUCGGGACCAGCUGGGAGAGUACCUGAACAAAAAGCAUCCGCUAACUCCGUGCCAGCAGCCGCGGUAAUCCGGGGGAUGCGAGCGUUAUCCGGAUUUAUUGGGUUUAAAGGGUGCGCAGGCGGAGGCACAAGGCAGCGGUAAAAUCGCGGGGCUCAACUCAGCUUCGCCGUUGAAACUGUGUCUCUUGAGUGCGCGAAGGGUAGGCGGAAUGCGUGGUGUAGCGGUGAAAUGCAUAGAUAUCACGCAGAAAUCCGAUCGCGAAGGCAGCCUACCGGCGCGCAACUGACGCUCAUGCACGAAAGCGUGGGUAUCGAACAGGAUUAGAUACCCGAGUAGUC